CUCCCCCUCCUCAGCCUCUGAUGUCACAGUAAAGCGCACCCUGUGCUCUCACGAUAGGAGAUCUGACUUCAUGAAAAUACUUUUUCAAAGUCUUAAGGAUCAUAAAAUUAAAAAGUGCAUAAAUUAUCUGUGUUAAAAUCUGUUUUAAACCCCAUUCCAGUUUCACUACAGCAGCAUACAUCAUAUCCUGUCACCUGUCAAAGUUUAUAUAACGACAUCUUUACAGCCUGACAGAAAAACUUUGUAAGUUAAGAAGACUUUUAAGUAAUUACCAACGUGUUCACUUGGACGUAUCCCAUGUGUUACACUAAAUCCCUGCAUUGUAUUUAAAGUGGACAUAAAACACUACAUGUGUAAAGGUUAGUUUACACCAUGGAGCCCUGCUGUCAAAGACUGUCAGAGGUGUAACACUGUCUCUGAAGCUGGAUUUAAAAUAGUGAGUGUUUAAAGAUUCAUUUUAUUAAGCACCAUCUUGUGUCAGUACAGAGCGUGACAUCACUGGGUUGGCUGAUUGCUUGCAACUCACAGACAUGCAUAAGUUUAUGUUAGCUAACUAACGACAUAACCAAUAACUUAGCAGAAAACAUAGAAACUAAAACUAAAAACCAGUCUAAGGGGAUGAUUUUGUACUGUCCCUGUCUGCAACAAUGAGUUAUUUUAUACUAAGAAACUGAGGAUAAACUGUCCACUUUCACUCUCUGUCUCUUUAGCAGUAAGUGAUUCUUCAACGUCGGCUAGCUGAACUGAAACAUGAGAAUCCACCUGUGUUAAGAAUGAGGAGGAGAGCCUGUUUGAGUCAGGUACACUGGUGGUUCACAAAACUAAUGCUGAUUUUAGUUUUCGUAUUCUUGCUUUGCACUAAGUGAUCUGAUCUGUCGCUAGUUAGCAAACAUAAAUGAAUAGAAGUCUAUUAGCCGACCAACCCAGUAACAUCACAUGCUGUACUUGCACAACAUGGUGCCAAACAUACUCUACAAAUAGAAACUUUAUUUCCAGCGUCACAGACAGUGUUAAAUCUGUGAAAGCUUUUUAGAGCGUGGCUUCGUGGUGUAGAUUAGCCUUUUUACAUGUAGCGUUUUAUGUUCACUUUAAAGAAAAUACUUAAAUACUAAAUGCAUUAGUGAUGUAAGUUGAUGUUAUCCUAUUGAAUGAAUCCUUCCAGUAGCAUGAAUGCACAGCGAUAUGGUUUAAUCCUUAAUUAUAAUCAUUUUUUCUUAUUUGCAUGUAUAAAAAAUUAUCCACCCUCCAUCCUCUGUCUACCCAAUCCUCUUUACCUUUUAGACCCUGUUUUUAAAUGUGCACACCACACGAGACGUUCUUGUCUUGACUUUCAGUGAACACAAAUAUGUCUAUACAGCAUCUGCUUCCAUCACUCACACAUGGAGGUAAAUCUUUAUCUGUGCAAAGAGUCAUUUUACUGUAAUAGUUACAUUAAUCUGACAAUUUACAGGAUAUCUUCACAUUCACAAAUAAAACAUUUUUUUUUAGCAUUAGCUUAUAAAAUAUAAAGAUUUGUUUACAAAACUGUAAAACCAGGACAUCUUACAUUAUAAUUCAUAGAGAGGAAAACUGGCUUCACCUUUAAGAGAAAACACUUAACACUUUGGAGAGAAGAAAAAAAUACUUCCAUGUCUACUAAUUACUUGAUAUAAUCUGAGUUCAUGUGAUCUCAGCUUUACAAUCGUCCAACAGUUCUGCACCUCACAAAACCGCCACCGAGAAAAGGGAAAAAUCAAGGUCACAUGACAUAUUACUCAGUUUCUGUCAUGAACUCUAACAGCUCAGUUUGCUUCUCCUGUUUGUGUCUUAUAACUAGCUUUGGUGUCAUGACACCCUGUCCCACACACCAACAGAAAUCCCUAUCCUAAUGAGGACACACAUAUGAUCUUUCUUUUAUUAUUAAGGUUUCAACACAAAGCAGCCCAAAGAGACUUCAAAGCGAUCACCAGCUGCUCCACUGUAGAAACAUGGACAGGUAGAAACAGCAAUUUCAAGUCUGACUGAUCAUCUCUGCCUUUGUUACCUGUUACAGUUCAGACUCUGGCUGCUGGGCUGGGGUCUGCAUACACCCAGUUUCAGCAACACUCAGGGUUAUUGGCUAACUUAGCUUAGCAUUAGCAUACUGUCUGUGCAAAUGGUUGCAAAGAGCCAAAGUUCUGUUACCAGCAUACUACAGUUUAGCAUUGCUCUGUUGUCCUUCUGUGCAAACAAUAAAUAAAAGUAAUGGCCACAUCUCCACUGUAAACCACUCCACCAUUUUCCUACUUCAUGUAGUGCAACAAAGAGUUUCAGUUCACACAUGAUAGUACAAACCGUGACGCCUGCGUUUUUUAUGUUUUCGGUAAAUUAAAAAAACACCAGCAAUGAUGAACAUCGCAGGAAGGGGCAGACCAGCUUUCAGUCCAACAAAUCCAUCCUCGUUCACUCCGUCUCCACUCUGUCCUCCUGUCUGACCUGCAGGAACAACUCUCAGGUAGAUGCUGCUGAUGGACUUCCCAUCUAACAAACGACACUCAUAUGUUCCCGUGUCCUCAAUCUUCACAUCCUUCAGAAUCAAAGACACGUCUCCAUCCGUCAUCUGUCUGUCCUGCAGAUCCACCCGGUCCUUAAAAUUUGGAUGCUGGUUUGCUGAAUCAAGCUGCUGGUCCCGGUACAAAAGGACAUAUUGUGUCUUCAGGUCAGCUCUGCUCCACUCCACACCUGUGAUGUCGCUGUUUGGACCUCGACACGACAGAGUGGCAGUCUGUCCAGUAUCCGCUGUGAUGAUUUUCCAGUCUGAAAGAAGAAAUAAUUCAGAGCCGAGAGUUUAAUGGGAUCAAAGUAUAGCAGCCAAUCAGAGUAAGGAGCUAAGAGACUACUCAGCAUGGGAUUUUCAUGUGUUUCACAUGGCAGCUCAGGUAACUUUAUAAUCUUAUGACCCCCUUAAGUCCUUUUAUGAUCUAUCUUUUAAUCUAAAUUGUUUAUUUUCUUGUUUUCGGUGCUGUUUUACUAUUAAACUGUUUGGAAAUUCUUCAUCAUCCUUCAAAGAUCAGCAGGUCUCCGUCUCUGUGGGAACUCUGUGGACAAAUGGAUUGGGAACAGAGGGAGUUCUCAUGACAGUGUUACAGUCCCCUACAACUACAAAUGCAUUGGUAACAGCAAAUAGUCUUUAUGUGAGCCUAACAGAGCAACACCACAUGUGUGGAUUGUCAGAGCUCUGUCAAUGCUUUCCUGCACAGCUGAAGUCCAUGGCUGGCCACCGGGAAAUGUCCCUGAUAGAACUCAGCUCACCUGCAUUGAGCUACCUAGUCUUGGGACUGGUAUUAGGAGCACACCGGCCUCUGAGCCCUUCUUAUAGAGGUGGGCAGAUCCAUCCAAAUAUCAGUAUCGAUACAGUGAUGAUAUUGGUAUCAGAUUGAAAAUGUGUUGAGAAUUUUCAAUUUGAGGACGACUGAGCCCAUAAAUCACAACACACUGCUCACCCUAACAUAAUCUGCCUUUAUGACUUAAAAGUAUAGGUACUGGUAUCUGCAAUACUGACCCUAUAUUUACUUGAUAUUGGAUGAACACAAGAAUAUGUAGUAUUGCACAGCAUUACUCUUUGGUAAAAUCCUGUUGUAGGCUAUAACAUAAUGUUCCAUAAAAGUAAAAAUGCAUAACUUUUGCAAUUAAUUGUCCAAAACUGGUCUAGUUUUAUGCAGGUUAUAGUAAAAGCUGUUUUUUAAAAUACAUAUAUCACUUGUAAACAUGCAGUCGAUAUAGUCUCCACCUCCUCCUGCACACCUGAAACUCCUCCCUCAGUGACAGCGCAGAGCAACAUUAUCUGUUCUCGGGAUCUUAUCGUGUUAAUGAAAAGAAGCUGUUGGGAACUGAGCCCAGCACCCCGCCGUGCGUAUUUCAGAAUAACUGCAAAUAAAUCGGGUUGCGCGCUGAGUUUUCGUGUCUCAUCUCCACAGCACAGGUUAAACAGACACUAAUGACACAGAUAUUAUAGGCUCAGCUUUACAGACUUUUCAGAGUAUAAAGUAUAAAGUAUAUAUAGUAUAAAGUGAACUCUCGGACUUCAUGUUGCUUUAAAACAGCUCGAGUCUCACCUGCAGAGACCAGCAGGACGCAGACAGACAGCAAACUCCAGCAGAGACACGCAGACCUCCCAGCUCUCAUUUCCGUGUUCGGACUUUUCCUUCUUCAGCUUUAAAACAAACUUUAAACUUCCUCAUCGAUAGAUCCUGGGUUUGAGAUUAUCUGAUUUGUACUUUAUUAAAAACAUUAACAUUUAAUGUUGUUUAAAUAUGUUUCCUCCGUGCGUCUUCCGCCUCUUCCGUGAUCGUGUCAACGCAAGCAGGGGCGUGGAAG
This is a long non-coding RNA of Oreochromis aureus, 4335 nucleotides long. The record is from Ensembl. NCBI's taxonomy places the organism in Eukaryota, Metazoa, Chordata, Actinopteri, Cichliformes, Cichlidae.